CCUACGGGAGGCAGCAGUGGGGAAUAUUGUGCAAUGGGGGAAACCCUGACACAGCGACGCCGCGUGAGUGAAGAAGGCCUUCGGGUCGUAAAGCUCAAUAGUAUGGGAAGAAAGAAAUGACGGUACCAGACGAAAGCCCCGGCGAACUCACGUGCCAGCAGCCGCGGUAAU
RNAcentral lists this ribosomal RNA (171 nucleotides) under Clostridium sp. W2-5_661-1. Its description in RNAcentral is "partial 16S rRNA". It matches the Rfam family "Bacterial small subunit ribosomal RNA", at positions 338 to 524 of the family's 1533-position model. Lineage: Bacteria; Bacillati; Bacillota; Clostridia; Eubacteriales; Clostridiaceae. The record is from RNAcentral.